Molecule: ribosomal RNA, 170 nt
Filed under: uncultured bacterium
Lineage: Bacteria
Description: partial 16S rRNA
Rfam family: Bacterial small subunit ribosomal RNA
Source: RNAcentral
CCUACGGGAGGCAGCAGUGGGGAAUAUUGGACAAUGGGCGCAAGCCUCGAUCCAGCCAUGCCGCGUGAGUGAUGAAGGCCCUAGGGUUGUAAAGCUCUUUUGUGCGGGAAGAUAAUGACGGUACCGCAAGAAUAAGCCCCGGCUAACUUCGUGCCAGCAGCCGCGGUAAU